AGUUAGUCGUACCACUCAUAUGCCAAAAAUAGAAAAAGGAUAUUUGUAUAUAUAUCAGAAGCAUGGUGUGUACAUCCCAUUUUCCAAAACCUUAUGUGGUCAAAUGAUUCAUAUUGGGGUGAGCUAUCAACUUUUUGGGGUGGAUGUACAAUUCCUCUACUCUCAUGUGAUUAUAAUAAAAUUCAAGUCACUGAUUUUUUUUUUGGUUCCUUUCUUCAGUUCACAUUCAAUGUGAUAGUAAAACAAGCUCUUGGGUUGACACCAGAAGAGCCACAAACUUCAAAAAUACUGGAAGAUUUCCUCACUUCAUGAAAGGACUCAUCUCCUUUCCACUAUAUAUUCCAGGCACUCCAUAUGUAAGAGCUGUUCAGGUACUUCCAGUCAUAUUUCAGUAGAAAUAUUUCAGACCCUUUUCAUGCAUAGAUACCAUUUUCUUAGGCUAGAGCAAGAAUAUCUUCUACAGUGAAAGCUAUAGUUGAAGAGAGAAGAUCAAAGGGAGAGAACUCUGCUGGUAAUAAGAAAAGUGAUUUCCUUGAAAUACUCCUAUCAGCAAAUAGCCUGUCUGAGGAUGAAAGGGUGAGCUUUGUACUGGAUUCUUUGUUGGGUGGGUGUGAAACCACCUCCCUCCUCAUGGCAUUGGCAGUUCUCUUCUUGGGUCAAUCACCAGCUGCUUUGCAACAACUGAGGGUAGACACCAUCUUUCUCUCUCCUCCCCUUUUAGCCAUUUCAAGCUCCAUAUAAAAAAGUUGAAAUUCAAUGGCCUUCUUUGAAAUUUUUUAUAAAAAGAAAAGAGAGAAAAUGAAAGAAACCCUUUUUUUUUUUUGAAACAGUCAGAGCAUGAAAGUAUAAGAAAUGUUGAAGGAAAAGAAGAGUACUUGAACUGGGAUGACUACAAGAAAAUGGAGUUUACUCUACAUGUAAGUGUAACUUUCUAAUCUUUUAAAUUAAGGGCUAUAGAUUAAUAUAUGACUUUAUAUUGGUUUCUUAAAUGGUAGUGAUUGGAUAGAUGGUA
Magnolia sinica is the source of this 1012-nucleotide long non-coding RNA. RefSeq lists it as uncharacterized. Lineage: Eukaryota; Viridiplantae; Streptophyta; Magnoliopsida; Magnoliales; Magnoliaceae. The transcript has 2 exons. The record is from RefSeq and is a predicted model, not a curated record.